This 514-nucleotide ribosomal RNA is filed under the name Enterobacter sp. Its description in RNAcentral is "bacterial SSU rRNA". It matches the Rfam family "Bacterial small subunit ribosomal RNA", at positions 114 to 624 of the family's 1533-position model. Lineage: Bacteria; Pseudomonadati; Pseudomonadota; Gammaproteobacteria; Enterobacterales; Enterobacteriaceae. The record is from RNAcentral.
UGUCUGGGAAACUGCCUGAUGGAGGGGGAUAACUACUGGAAACGGUAGCUAAUACCGCAUAACGUCGCAAGACCAAAGAGGGGGACCUUCGGGCCUCUUGCCAUCAGAUGUGCCCAGAUGGGAUUAGCUAGUAGGUGGGGUAACGGCUCACCUAGGCGACGAUCCCUAGCUGGUCUGAGAGGAUGACCAGCCACACUGGAACUGAGACACGGUCCAGACUCCUACGGGAGGCAGCAGUGGGGAAUAUUGCACAAUGGGCGCAAGCCUGAUGCAGCCAUGCCGCGUGUAUGAAGAAGGCCUUCGGGUUGUAAAGUACUUUCAGCGGGGAGGAAGGUGUUGAGGUUAAUAACCUCAGCAAUUGACGUUACCCGCAGAAGAAGCACCGGCUAACUCCGUGCCAGCAGCCGCGGUAAUACGGAGGGUGCAAGCGUUAAUCGGAAUUACUGGGCGUAAAGCGCACGCAGGCGGUCUGUCAAGUCGGAUGUGAAAUCCCCGGGCUCAACCUGGGAACUGC